CAAGUGAUACCUCAAGCCUACUUGUCUAUUUUUCUCUCCACAACUUCUCUUCCAAGUUAAACACACCCCGAAAGUUUGCAGACUUUUUGAAUAGGUUUGUGAUCCCCUUCUCAAGCUUUAAGAGUAUGAAUAAUUUUAAUAGAUUUGUGAUCCCCUACUUAAGCUUUAAGAGAGCUUACUUAUAUUAAGUCGAGGGUCACAAAUCUAUUCAAUAUAUCCGUCUGCGUUUUUCCAUAUGCAACAACGUUUUUUUGCUUGAAUAGGGAGGCUGGCAUAGCAAUCUUUGUCAGGCUGUGUCUUUGGCCUCCCGCACUUCUCAAGUUACUUUAGGAGUUCUGGUGCAGUAGUGCUUGUGGUCAAUAAUUGCUUGUGUUGCUCCUGUAGGCUGUCAUAGGGUGGUCAAGACUGCUGUUGGUGGCUGUUUGGAGGAAGGUUCGAGUGUAGUGUUUUGAUCAUGAAAUAAUUGGAGCUUGUUUUGGGAGUUCUUUUAAUAGUUUUUGUUUCUGCAAUGGUGGCUUAGAGGUUUAAUGGCAGGUCACUUGGCCCAUUUACUCUAGAUUUAAUUCUAGUUUUAAGUUUGUUUCUGGUGGCCUGUGCUAUUGUAUUGGUUUUGAAUGCUACUGGUUGUAUUGGCAUGUCUUAUGCCGUUUUUCCUUAAGCUCAAUAAAUUCUUUAGCCUUUUUCAAUUUAUAUA
RNAcentral lists this long non-coding RNA (694 nucleotides) under Lathyrus oleraceus (garden pea). Its description in RNAcentral is "Pisum sativum (pea) long non-coding RNA (PSAT_LNC000908)". The record is from RNAcentral. Lineage: Eukaryota; Viridiplantae; Streptophyta; Magnoliopsida; Fabales; Fabaceae.